GGCGGUGUUUGAAACCAAUGACAAGACAUUGCUGCCUGCCAGCGUCCUCAACCCCACCCACCUACCCGCACAGAAUAGACUCUGCCCAAACACCCGUCAUAGCUGCCGAUGGAGUCCACUGAGAUCUGCGGAGAUGAUAAAAGGACGCGUCGAACUCCACCAUCGCCAUGCAUCACCGCUGGAAGGAAUAGAGGAGACUGUCGCCGCUCAUGGUAUCAUCAUCCCGGCGUCGAUCGUCAUCGAUCUGGAUUUUGAGGGAAGCUCCAGAUCUGAAGUGGUAGAUGGUAGCUCCUCCAAUCCACUUUCGCGUGGCGUCCGAGCCGGCGAUGCACGCGACUUCGGCUAGGACGACUCGAAGACUGGUUUGGAAACGCAGGAACCGAGCCAGUUCUGGACUUACGGCGAGGGCAACGCCGAGCAACUGAGCUCCAUUGAAAGAUGCCUUCUGAACUCCUAGCAAAAAGAAUGGAUUCACAAGUCUACAGAACCAGGGGAAUAGCAGGUUCUUGUGCCGGCUCGGCACUUUGCACAGGAAACAGAAGCUCCUGCCUUGACCAGUAUAAGGAAGGGGCGGGUCCUCACUUGGACGAGUUUGUGGAGCAGCUCAAGGGGAAUUACUGGUGUCUUACUUUGGUUUGUGAAAGUGCAUGUAAAACCUGGGAUCGUCAGCUUAUCAUGCAAUGUACUACUACAUUUCAGUGUGUCACAAUCUUUUAGUUCGCCCAAGUGCUCUCCAGAAACAAAACAGGAUGUCAAACUAAUUAUUGAUUUCACAAUUGUUUCAAAGUGUUAAUGUUGAAAAUUAAUAGUACUUGUUGCA
Molecule: long non-coding RNA, 820 nt
Organism: Aegilops tauschii subsp. strangulata
Lineage: Eukaryota; Viridiplantae; Streptophyta; Magnoliopsida; Poales; Poaceae
Source: RefSeq, a predicted model, not a curated record